RNAcentral lists this ribosomal RNA (199 nucleotides) under uncultured bacterium. Its description in RNAcentral is "partial 16S ribosomal RNA". It matches the Rfam family "Bacterial small subunit ribosomal RNA", at positions 1300 to 1500 of the family's 1533-position model. The record is from RNAcentral.
GAAGGCUGAAAUUCGCCUUCAUGAAGUCGGAAUUGCUAGUAAUGGCAGGUCAGCAUACUGCCGUGAAUACGUUCCCGGGCCUUGUACACACCGCCCGUCACACCAUGAGAGUUGGGAAUACCCGAAGCCUGUGAGCUAACGAAAGAGGCAGCAGUCGAAGGUAGAAUCAAUGAUUGGGGUGAAGUCGUAACAAGGUACC